CGAUUAAGUUUACGCACUGACACUCCAACCGGGAUUAAGAGAUGAUUACAUUCAUAAUAUUCUGAUGGUAAAACAGUAAUUGGGACCACUUGACCAUCAUGAUGACAACGCCGCACUAAUGGAAAAUCCAAUCCAGGAAAUAGCAGAACGAUUUUGACGCCGGAAAACGCCUCUUUUGAACUCUACCAGUGGGUGUUCCGGUUGAUUUAGGAAUGGAGGAAUGUUUUGCUACCCAUCAUCAAGCUACACUCAAUUUGAUCGCAGACUGCUUACUGGUCGGGUCAGGUGUUGAUCGAGAUGAACCUACAAAUGAGAUGAGCUCGUUGGCUAACGAGAGGGCUUGUUCAAGAUCAAUGUGUCAGUUCGACAGCUGCUGCCCUGACUUAUAUUGGAACUGAUAACCGGGAGACCAUCGAAAAACUUUUCCGGCGCAAGGGGUUCCAGUCCAGCGAGUUCAACGAACACUGGAAGGAUUCUGUGGGCCAUCAUGAUUGAGGUUCUAAAACUGCACGGUGGUUUCAAGUCAAUGCUUGUAUCAAUGUUGUUGCAACAACUCACCUGAAAGAUAUCUUGGAUUCUGCUUUGCUUUGUUCGGAUCACUUAAAAAGAUUCAAUUUUGUAUCCGAACGAAUGUUCGAACUAGUAUGUAAGAGCCUGGCACUAUGGUCACUAUUCCAGGAGAAUUUAUUUGGCCGUCUCUUCGUUAAACGCAUCUGCCUCGUGAAAGCCAACGUUUCGGCUUAUUUCAGUUCCUCAUAAUUUGAGGUAUUGAGCAAUCAGAUUGGAAUAAGAGUAAAUAACGAGCCCCGAUUGAUAAACUGGAAUAGACUUCUUCGAACGACACGUUUUGUGGUGUUUAAUGUACCAUGUCAAUCUGGAAUUGGAUUCUGACUACCCAAAAGCAAGAAAAGAACGUUUUAAAAAUCCCAAUGCACCCAAGUUCUUAGGUCCAUCAAGACUUCGGAGAAUAUGGACUGUCCUCGAGCUGAAUUCAAAGACUUCAAACCCCAAAAUAUACGAACGAAUUGGACAAGUCAGUCGACUAAGCUUGGCAGCUCACAGCACACAUUGGAAACUGAAGCAGGUUACGUCCUCUACGCCGGUCAUGCCGCAGUUUCAACAGACGAGUCAAUAACAAAUGGAUGUAAAGAAUUCGAUCAUCGAUGUGUAUGCUGAUAGGAUUUGCUCAGCGCUUGUUAAUGAGAAAAACUAUGCUCCUGCUACAAAGUCAAUUCCUUGUGACCCUCAGUUUUCAGUUUCAGGAAACACAAUGAAAAGAUAUUUAAACAAGAAUGGAAAUAGAGAUACAAGGAAAUUAUUUUUGCUCAAAUAAUUUAAGGAAAGGUUUGUUUUAAGAAUUAAAUCUUAGAGUUUUAUCAUUUCUUGUACGUAAUAAUUCUAAUUAAAA
Long non-coding RNA from Uranotaenia lowii, 1408 nucleotides. RefSeq lists it as uncharacterized. The transcript has 7 exons. Lineage: Eukaryota; Metazoa; Arthropoda; Insecta; Diptera; Culicidae. The record is from RefSeq and is a predicted model, not a curated record.